RNAcentral lists this ribosomal RNA (453 nucleotides) under uncultured bacterium. RNAcentral's name for it is "bacterial SSU rRNA". It matches the Rfam family "Bacterial small subunit ribosomal RNA", at positions 30 to 480 of the family's 1533-position model. The record is from RNAcentral.
AUUGAACGCUGGCGGCAUGCCUUACACAUGCAAGUCGAACGGCAGCACGGGAGCUUGCUCCUGGUGGCGAGUGGCGAACGGGUGAGUAAUACAUCGGAACGUACCCUGAAGUGGGGGAUAACGUAGCGAAAGUUACGCUAAUACCGCAUAUUCUGUGAGCAGGAAAGAGGGGGAUCGCAAGACCUCUUGCUUUAGGAGCGGCCGAUGUCGGAUUAGCUAGUUGGUGAGGUAAAGGCUCACCAAGGCGACGAUCCGUAGCGGGUCUGAGAGGAUGAUCCGCCACACUGGGACUGAGACACGGCCCAGACUCCUACGGGAGGCAGCAGUGGGGAAUUUUGGACAAUGGGCGCAAGCCUGAUCCAGCCAUGCCGCGUGAGUGAAGAAGGCCUUCGGGUUGUAAAGCUCUUCGUGGGAGAAUAGCUCGGUUAAUACCUGGAGUAGAUGACGGUACCC